UACGGGGGGAGCAAGCGUUGUUCGGAUUUACUGGGCGUAAAGGGUUCGUAGGCGGUGCGGCAAGUCGGUAGUGAAAUCUCCAGGCUUAACUUGGAGGCUGCUGCCGAAACUGCUGUGCUAGAGUGCAGAAGAGGAGAGUGGAAUUCCUGGUGUAGCGGUGAAAUGACGCAGAUAUCAGGAAGAACACCCGUGGCGAAGGCGGCUCUCUGGGACGGUACUGACGCUGAGACGCGAAAGCGUGGGGAGCGAACAGG
RNAcentral lists this ribosomal RNA (254 nucleotides) under uncultured bacterium. RNAcentral describes it as "partial 16S ribosomal RNA". It matches the Rfam family "Bacterial small subunit ribosomal RNA", at positions 524 to 776 of the family's 1533-position model. The record is from RNAcentral.